Molecule: ribosomal RNA, 497 nt
Filed under: uncultured bacterium
Lineage: Bacteria
Description: partial 16S ribosomal RNA
Rfam family: Bacterial small subunit ribosomal RNA
Source: RNAcentral
GAUGAACGCUGGCGGCGUGCCUAAUACAUGCAAGUCGAGCGAACGGACGAGAAGCUUGCUUCUCUGAUGUUAGCGGCGGACGGGUGAGUAACACGUGGAUAACCUACCUAUAAGACUGGGAUAACUUCGGGAAACCGGAGCUAAUACCGGAUAAUAUUUUGAACCGCAUGGUUCAAAAGUGAAAGACGGUCUUUCUGUCACUUAUAGAUGGAUCCGAGCUGCAUUAGCUAGUUGGUAAGGUAACGGCUUACCAAGGCAACGAUGCAUAGCCGACCUGGAAGGGUGAUCGGCCACACUGGAACGGAGACACGGUCCAGGCUCCUACGGGAGGCAGCAGUAGGGAAUCGGCCGCAGAGGGCGAAAGCCUGACGGAGCAACGCCGCGUGAGUGAUGAAGGUCUUCGGAGCGUAAAACUCUGUUAUGAGGGAAAAACAUAUGUGUAAGGAACUGUGCACAUCUUGACGGUACCUAAUCAGAAAGCCACGGCUAACUACGUG